Molecule: ribosomal RNA, 406 nt
Filed under: uncultured bacterium
Lineage: Bacteria
Description: bacterial SSU rRNA
Rfam family: Bacterial small subunit ribosomal RNA
Source: RNAcentral
CAAUGGGAGAAAUCCUGAAGCAGCAACGCCGCGUGGAGGAUGAAGGGUCUAUGACUUGUAAACUCCUGUAAAGAAGGAAAAAAUUCCAAUUUGAUGGGAGAUGAUGGUACUUCUGGAGUAAGCCCCGGCUAACUACGUGCCAGCAGCCGCGGUAAUACGUAGGGGGCAAGCGUUGUCCGGCUUUACUGGGUGUAAAGGGUGCUCAGGCGGAUUUGUAAGUCAGAGGUGAAAUCUUACAGCUUAACUGUGAAACUGCCUUUGAUACUGCAAGCCUAGAGUAUGGAAGAGAGUGAUGGAAUAUCUGGUGUAGCAGUGAAAUGCGUAGAUAUCAGAUAGAACACCAAUGGCGAAGGCAGUCACUUGGUCAAUUACUGACGCUAAAGCACGAAAGCGUGGGUAGCAAACA